GGGCGGCUAGCCUAAUGGUAAGGCGUCUGAUUUCGGCUGGGUUUUACCAAAUGCUGCUCAGAAGACUUGCAGGUUAUCCGGCGUCGCUCA
This 90-nucleotide transfer RNA is filed under the name Penicillium solitum. It matches the Rfam family "tRNA". Rfam says of the family: Transfer RNA (tRNA) molecules are approximately 80 nucleotides in length. Lineage: Eukaryota; Fungi; Ascomycota; Eurotiomycetes; Eurotiales; Aspergillaceae. The record is from Rfam by way of RNAcentral.